Molecule: long non-coding RNA, 208 nt
Organism: Tupaia belangeri chinensis (Chinese tree shrew)
Lineage: Eukaryota; Metazoa; Chordata; Mammalia; Scandentia; Tupaiidae
Exons: 2
Source: RefSeq, a predicted model, not a curated record
GAAAGAGUUAAGCGGGCUCGCGGGUGACAUCACCUCAUUUACAUAGGAGCGGCCAUAUAGCGGCGCUCGCCGCGCCCCGCCCGACCCCGACACUCGGCGGUGGCCACUGCACAGACCAGACUUCGUUCUCUAGCGCACCUCUCUCCGCGUCCUCCGCGACCAUGUCUGACAAACCCGAUAUGGCUGAGAUCGAGAAAUUCGAUAAGUC